CCCCGCCCCGGGAUCGCGCCGCUGCUUGUUUACGCCCCGGCGCAGCCUAGUCCGACCCUGGGGCCCGCCUCGCCCGCCGCCUAUUGGCGGAGGAGGCAUUCAGGCUGGCGACGAUUGGCCCGGGAGAGGCAGAGGGGUAGGCUGCGCGGGAGGCCGAGAGGGGCAGCCGGUGAUGGCGGCGGCGGCAGCGGCAGGUCGGCUGGGCUGGUUGCUCGCCGCGUUCUGCCUGGGCAGCGCCGGCAGGAAGGCGGCGCCGGGUCCGCGAGUGCUGGGCAUCUGUGUGGAGGAGGACGGAGCCGCGGGCGCUGGGUGGGCGCGCGGAGAGGAGGUUAGGGCCGUGCCGGAGGCCACCUUCCGCCUGCGCCUCUUUGGCUUGGGCUUCCCCAACAGCUCCUGGUCCUGGGUGGCCCCUGAGGGGGCGGGUUGCCCGGAGGGCGGGCCGGCCACCGCGCCUGGGGAAGUGGCGGACCCCACGGGCGAGUGGCACGCACUGCUACGCCUGCGCGCCCAGGCCGAACGCCCGCACUCGGGACUCCCGGCGGUGCGCGGGGAGCGAGGCAGCUCCGCGGCCGAGGAAGCGGUGGCUUCCUCAGGCGAGUGGCGCGCGCUGCUGCGCCUGCGCGCCGAUGCCGAGCGCCCGCACUCUGCGCUGCUGGCGGUGCGCGUGGAACCCGGCGGCGCUGUGGCCGAGGAGUCGGCUCCGCCCUGGGCGCUGGGCCUGGGGGCGGCGGGGCUGCUGGCGCUGGCGGCGCUGGCACGGGGCCUGCAGCUGAGCGCGCUGUCGCUGGCGCCGGCCGAGGUGCAGGUACUGCGCGAGAGCGGCUCGGAGGCGGAGCGGGCGGCGGCGCGGCGCCUGGAGCCCUCGCGGCGCUGGGCCGGCUGCGCCCUCGGCGCACUGCUGCUGCUGGCCAGCCUGGCGCAGGCAGCGCUGGCUGUGCUGCUCUACCGCGCGGCCGGGCAGCGCGCGGUGCCCGCUGUGCUGUGUAGCGCGGGGCUUGUGUUUCUGGUGGGCGAGGUGGUGCCGGCCGCCGUGAGCGGGCGCUGGGCUUUGGCGCUGGCGCCGCGCGCGCUGGUGCUCAGCCGCCUGGCUGUGCUGCUUACCUUGCCCGUGGCGCUGCCGGUGGGGCAGCUGCUAGAGCUGGCGGCGCGGCCCGGGCGGCUGCGCGAGCGCGUGCUGGAGCUGGCGCGCGGCGGCGGCGACCCCUACAGCGAUCUUAGCAAGGGCGUGCUGCGCUGCCGGACGGUGGAGGAUGUGCUCACGCCACUCGAGGACUGCUUCAUGCUGGACGCCAGCGCCGUGCUGGACUUCAGCGUCCUGGCCAGCAUCAUGCAGAGCGGCCACACGCGCAUCCCCGUGUACGAGGAGGAGCGCUCCAACAUUGUGGACAUGCUCUACCUCAAGGACUUGGCCUUCGUGGACCCCGAAGACUGCACGCCGCUCAGCACCAUAACCCGCUUCUACAACCACCCACUCCACUUUGUCUUCAACGACACCAAGCUGGAUGCCGUCCUGGAAGAGUUCAAACGAGGGAAGUCCCACCUGGCCAUCGUGCAAAAGGUGAAUAACGAGGGUGAAGGUGACCCCUUCUAUGAGGUGCUGGGCCUGGUCACCCUGGAGGACGUCAUUGAGGAGAUCAUCAAGUCGGAGAUCCUCGAUGAGUCUGAAGACUAUCGAGACAUGGCCAUGAGGAAGAAGCCUGCUCCUCUGAGCACCCCUCUCAGGCGGAAAGAGGAAUUCUCCUUAUUCAAGGUGUCUGACGAUGAAUAUAAAGUGAAAAUCUCUCCUCAACUGCUCUUGGCCACCCAGCGCUUCCUUUCCCGAGAGGUGGAUGUAUUCAGCCCAGUACGAAUUUCCGAGAAGGUCCUGCUGCACCUGCUGAAGCAUCCCAGUGUCAACCAGGAAGUGAGGUUUGACGAGAGCAACCGCCUGGCCACACACCAUUACCUGUACCAGCGCAGCCAGCCAGUGGACUAUUUCAUUCUCAUCCUUCAGGGCAGGGUUGAGGUGGAGAUCGGGAAAGAAGGGCUGAAGUUUGAGAACGGGGCCUUCACCUAUUAUGGAGUGUCUGCCCUGACUGCACCAUCCUCAGUUCACCAGUCCCCAGUGUCCUCGCUCCAGUCCACCCGCCACGAACUACAGCCUGAGCCGGCUGAUGGCACUCGCCUGUCUGCGUAUUGUCCUGACUACACCGUGAGGGCACUCUCUGACCUGCAGUUGAUUAAGGUCACGAGGCUGCAGUACCUCAAUGCACUCCUGGCUACCCGAGCCCAGAGCCUGCCCCAGUCCCCUGAGAACGCGGGCUUCCAGGUCAUCCCGGGCAGCCAGACCAGACUGCUCGGAGACAAGACAUCUGCAGCAGCAGCCUUCCCAGUAGACCUUUCCCUCUUUGGCACAUUUGGAAACUGCAGUUGAUAAUUGUGGACUAGUGAGCAUUUUUUGUUUUAAGAAAACACCCAGAAGAUCUUGAACAUCACGCUUCCUUCCAGGCAGGUGCUCUAUUGUCCAGGGCAGGCGCCCUGGCCCAGCAUGAGGCCUUGGCCACCUGGCCCAAGCACAGCAGACCCAGCCUCCCCGCAGAGGAGAGCCCUGGGCGGAACCCAGGAGUCUGACUGCUUGCCAGGCAGCCCCAGGUUGGGGAAUGGACAAGCACGUGGGGAACUGCAGAGAGCCGAGGAGUAGCUUCCUGCCAGCCUGUCCCCAUCCCCCCCAGGCCACGUUUUAGAUGGCCCGUAGAGAUGGGUCCUGGGCUGUCCUUAAGCUGGACGUCAGUGCAGGAGCCUUCUGCAGGCCCUGUCCUCCUUUAGGAAAGGGGGUCAAUGGGACACAGCCCUCUGACCUCUUGGAGGGAAUGAAGGGAACAUGUCACUUCCGGUCCCCAGGGCCCAGCCUUCUCCCUGUGACAGUGUAGUGCAUUUUUUCCUCUUGGGGCCAAGCCAUAAUAUGAGUGCAUGAUUACUGCCUUUAUGUGACUGUGACCUGUACUCACUUUGCUUUUCAUUUGGCAACCUGCUGCUGCUGGUAGCACUCUUUGAGCAAACCAAGAGUACCAGUUUCCACUGGGGGUUCAGAUCCAUGGCCUUGGCCACAGUGAACUGUUUGGCUUCCCUCACAAUGCCUUGUUUCAAAGCACGUGCCCCAGCCUGUCCUGAGUGCCAAACCUAGGAGCAUGGUUUCCCAUGAGCCUGCCCCAUGGCCCCGCUCCCUCCUGUGGAGGCUGCUUGUCUGGCCCUGCCAGAGCCCUGAGCGAACCAGCUGGCCCCCAGUGGGCUGGGCAGGCCUGCAAUUGCUGCUUCUCUGCUUGUCCUGCUUAGUAGCUGCUAACAGUAUUGUCACUUUCUGUGUUUUAAGAAGAGGUCAACAUGGGAGGAAAGGAUCUUUUUGCUACACCUAAUCCCUUUUCAUUGUGGGAUCCCGGGAGGCUCACCACCUAUGAGAUUCCUCCUAGGCCUCCGUGGGGGUGCUGUGGGCAUGAUGUGCCUGGAUAGCAGCAAGGGAGGAAAGGCUGGGUUAUGGACCAGUAGACCCCCGUGGCCUUUCUUUAAAAAAUUUAUGUGAAAUCAGAGAUUUUUUUACAUCUCUGAAAUAUUUCAAGUUCUUUGCUUUUUCCCUGUUCCCUGCUGUGGGGUUUUAGAGAAGUGGGAACAAGAAGGCAUUUGUCUUUCUCUUCGUUUACCUAUAGUUACCUUCCAUAUUCCUUCAGCUGUGUGGAAAUUAGGGCAUCACAGGGACGUGCGAUUGGGUAGAGUAGGGAGGCAGGAGGGUUUCAGGAACCUCUCUCAAAGGGAUUUAGGUCCCUACCUGGGACCACUGGGAAUAAAGGCAAAGAGCAGGGGCACGCUCUCUUAGAAACUGUUCUCAAGGAAUUCUCCCCAAGAGCAAACCCAGGUAGGAGACAGACACUUUAAAAAUCAUCUCUCCAAAACAGUGGUUCUUAACCUUGGCUGCACAUCACAAUCACCCGGCACUUAGAAAUACUGAUACCUGGGGCCCAUCCCCAGGGAUUCUGAUUUAGUCAGCCUGGGCAUCAAGAUUAUAUUUUUGAAGUAAUUUUAGGCUCAGAGCUCCAUAUACCCUUCACCCAGCUUUCCCUGAUGUUAACAUCUUAACAUAACCUUGGCACAUAUAUAUCAAAACUAAAAAAUUAAUACUGGUACAAAACUAUUAACUAAAUUCUAAACUUUAUGUGGAUUUCACUAGGUCUUCAAUAAUACCCCUUUUCUGUUGCAGGAUCCAAUCCAGGAGACCAAGUUGCAUUUAGAGCUAUUGUUUUUUUUUCCCCUCACUUUUAUUUUGAAAUUACAGAUUCAUAGGAAGUUGAAAAGGUAGAGGUACCUUUCACCUAGUCUUCCUCAGUGGUUACAUCUUACAUAGUUAUAAUGCAGUUUCAAAACCAGGACUCUGACGGCGGGGUGUGUAGUUUUAUAUCAUCUUAUAUGGAGACUUGUGUAGCCACCACUGCAGCCUAAGUAUUGGGCUGUCCCAUGACCACAAGGGUCUCCCUCCAGGCCACACCUGCCCUCUGCGGUCACCAGCCCUAAUCCCUGGCAACCACUAAUCAGUGCAUCAUCUCUGAUUUUGUCAUUUCAAGAACGUUGUGUAAAUGGGAUCAUACAGUAUAUAACCAUUUGGGAUUGGGUUUGUUCACUCAGCAUAAUACUCUGGAGAUACAUCCAGGUUGUUGGGUGCAUUGUAGUUCCUUUUGAUUGCUGCCUAGUAUUCCAUGGUAGACUCAUCCCUUUUAAGGACAUUUGGGUGGUUUCCAAUUUUUGGCUAUUCCAAAUAAAGCUGCUAUGAACAUUUAUUACAGA
Molecule: non-coding RNA, 4809 nt
Organism: Manis javanica (Malayan pangolin)
Lineage: Eukaryota; Metazoa; Chordata; Mammalia; Pholidota; Manidae
Source: RefSeq, a predicted model, not a curated record